UACCCUUCUCAAUCUUUGGCUAAGAUCAAGUGUAGUAUCUGAAACGUGAGCUAAUGUCCCACAAUGAUAUUAAAUUUAGUUUUUAAGGGGAAAGUUCCACUAGUCCACAAUAGCUUGCUGCUGGGAACUUCGAGCGUAGCCUGUGCGUUGCACUAUGGAACCUAGUAUAUUCAAUCUCC
RNAcentral lists this small nuclear RNA (179 nucleotides) under Beta vulgaris subsp. vulgaris (sugar beet). RNAcentral describes it as "snRNA U2". It matches the Rfam family "U2 spliceosomal RNA". From Rfam's summary of the family: U2 is a small nuclear RNA (snRNA) component of the spliceosome (involved in pre-mRNA splicing). Complementary binding between U2 snRNA (in an area lying towards the 5' end but 3' to hairpin I) and the branchpoint sequence (BPS) of the intron results the bulging out of an unpaired adenosine, on the BPS, which initiates a nucleophilic attack at the intronic 5' splice site, thus starting the first of two transesterification reactions that mediate splicing. The record is from Rfam by way of RNAcentral. Lineage: Eukaryota; Viridiplantae; Streptophyta; Magnoliopsida; Caryophyllales; Amaranthaceae.